RNAcentral lists this small nuclear RNA (74 nucleotides) under Cebus imitator (Panamanian white-faced capuchin). Lineage: Eukaryota; Metazoa; Chordata; Mammalia; Primates; Cebidae. The record is from RNAcentral.
CAACCACAGUGAGAAGAGCAGCAUGGCCUUUGUUCAAGGAUGACAUGCAAAUUGGUGAAGUGUUCCAUAUAGUU